CUGCGAAAAUCUUCCAUUGGUCACAAAGGAUGGACACAUCAAGCAAGAGCCGGUGUUGGUGUUACAGACGCGUCUGAUACCUAGGAACAAUCUUCCAGUGAUCCAAUGGCUUGUUCAAUGGGAAAAUCUCCCUCCUGACGACUCUUCUUGGGAAGAUGCAGACUUCAUCAAGCAUACCUUCCCUCAUUUCUUCAAGCAAACAAUAGAAGGCUGGCGCCAAAACAAGAUUACUCCUUGAGGACAAGUUCGUUUUUUCGAGGGGGCAUUGUCAGGACCUAAGAAGAUUCAGCACAAGUGGGUUCAGUUAUCGUACGGUCGAAAGCAGCUCAAGCUAUGAAGAUCUAACGGCUCGCAUUUGCUCACCGUUACUGUACCGUUUCAUUUGUCACCGUUACUGUUCCGUUUCUGAAAAGGCUAUAUAUAAGCCAGCGCAGCGUGUUUGUAAGGAUUCAUUUCAGUUAAGAUCAAUCCAAAAUAUUGUAUACAUUUAAACCUCCCUCUGUGAGGAAUAUACCUAGCAUAUUCGAGUCAAUACAGAUCAGAUCGAAACCCUAGUUGGUGUUCAUCUCCCAAAUCCCCCUGAUCUGAUAGUAGGGUGUGACAUGGCCUCCCUCGCGCGUCGUCCGGCGACCGGCGCCGCCGAACCCGCCAUGACCUCCACCAUGGAGUUCCUGUAGCUUGUCCCCUACCUCCUCGUCCUGUGCUCGAGGGAGACGCCCCUCCAGCGCAUCGAGGACAAGGCCCACCACCAGCCGAUCGUUGUUGCACUCGCCGGCGACCUCACCGUCCCCUCUGCACUGCCCUCCACCUCAACUGAUGCUUCUCAUCAACAGGGAUAGAUUUAGCUGGUCAUAGCUUGUGGAUGUUCUCUGUUAUUUUUUGCACACAAGGUGUUUGUGUGCUUGUCCAAGCCAAUGUUCAUGAGCUUUAUCUUUGAUAUAAAUGACAUGGCUGAGAAGGUCCCUUCAAUGAAAGGAGGAGGAGUAUAGUCUUGGCCAUGGCUGGGGAGGAAGGAGAACAUGUAAAUUGAGGAUUUUUCAGAGAGAUUAGGACUGCUUGAUUUAUCAGAGAGAAAACCUUGAUCCGGAGCUUCGUCGAUGCAGGCCUUCAUGCUGGGCCGAGGAGGAGAAGAAGGGGGGGCACGUCGAAGGUGCCGGUGGAGCGCGUCGUCGAGAUCGUUGAUGACAGCGACAUGGGCGAGGCCGUUGAGGAGGUCAUGGUUGAUGCUUUACUGCCUGAACAUGUUGACCGGGAACAAGAGGGUAAGGUGGAUGCGAGGGCGGAGGCGCAUGCCAUGGUGCAGGAUGUUGUGGAAGCCCGAUUAUUUGAGGAAGUGACAGCCACUGGGAGCAUGGAUCGACAGACUAGACAGACCAAGUCCAUUGAUCGGUUGAUUCAACAACGAAGGAAGAGGCAGAAGGUUAUAAAAAUGAGCUUGGGGAUUUACUGACCUGAAUCUUAAACAGGGCCGCCCUGCUGAUGGACUCAAGCUCCAGGUUUGCUCCUAGCACGUCUUAAUUACAUUGGCUCUUGACAAAAUGUCUAGCAUGAUGGAUAAUGAGUUCAUUCUGUGAUGCCACAUAGAUAUGCAAAGUCAUAGUCCUGCAUGUAUGCACAUCUACUGAUACAUACAAGCCGAUCGACGGGCACACACAUUAGUAAGUUCUGCUACUAGCCUAAUCAAGAGCCUUUUAUACAACCCCGCGAAAAAAGCCUUUUAUACAGCCUUGCAGAUAAAAAUGAAUUGAAUUAUGAGCAUCUGACAACUACGAUCAAUUUCCUGGUUAUACUUCCUGAAAUAAAGGUGGCCGACCAAAUGAAAGGAUGGAUGCUUUCCUUUAUGUGAGAUUAUAUAAAUUAUCUUGCUUGAUCUGCAAUGUUUCUUUGGAAAUUUUUUAUGAAAGACACAUGACACAUAGUUUGCUGGAUAGGUCUAAGAUAAAUAUUUCAGUUAUAGGAGGAUAAUUUUAAAUGGGUAAUACUAUUACCGCCAUCUGCUUGGCCUGUUGUGCUUUCGGUAGAGCUUUCAUAUUUCAACACAAAAAAACAACAAUGCAAGUUGGGACCAGAAUAUCACACACAUCCUCAAAGGAAACAUCAGUUGGGAGUGCUCAAGUAUUCAGUUUCUUGGAUGAUGUAUUAUGUUCUCGCUUAUCAUGUACUCCCUUUGUAAACAAAUAUAAAACGUUUCUUGGAUGAUGUAUUAUGUUCUCGCUUAUCAUGUUACAGAGGGAGUAUGUUUCUAGAUAUCCGUCAACUCCAAUGUUUCAUUUAUCUACUCUCUGAAUAUGAAGAAGAUAGGCUUGCAAAGUAGCUUUUUACGUGAAUAAUGUGACAAACAUUUAUAUCUUAUAACUGCAAACAUUUUUUUGUUUAGUCCGUCACCGAGCAAAUGUUUGGGAGUUGGAAAUUAUUUGGAUACACAUGAUCUCAGAAAAGAAAGAUUCACACAUACUACAACCAAAGGACCUCCUUCACUCUCUGUGCAACUACAGAAAUUAUCCUUAUGAGCAGCACCCUAGAUUUAGUUGUGGGUUCUAACAUAUUAGAGAUGUGGUUAGAAUACCUACUGCUCUGAACAAUUAAGUGGUUUGUAUAAACCACCGAUUCCCUCGUGCAGUGUACAAUGUGAUAUGGAUCAUCAUAGGAUCAAACUUAAUACAGGAAGCACACACUUAAUUGUUUCUGAACUAUACUACUUCUUAUGUUCAUUCUUCUGUCCUUUUAAAUCUCUAAUUUAGUUGCAAGUAUUUUAUUUGUUAUCAUUUGGCUUCUUAAGAACAAAUCUAGCAAGCAACGACUCGACUGAUGAAAGAGAUGUUGACCAUCUUUGCUGCAGUGAGGUACCUUCUUGAUCAUGUUACUAAUCUGUAUCUACAUUAUUCAGAUGUGAAACUCAUCCUUCUUAAAACAUCUGCAACGCAUAUGUGCACUCUGAAAUGGUAAAAUAUUUGCAUUCUAUAGCACUUCAAGUUUGUGUAGCAUCCCCAUAUUUCCCGCGGCCCAGUUCCUUGAACUGGCUAACCCUUAUUGAUGUCAUAUGUCCUGAACUGACUCUCAUGACCAAGUUCCUCAACCCGUCUGCCCCUCAAAGGCAUGUUGUGCAGUGGCUCAAUUCAUCGCAUUGUGAUUGAACACAUUAGGAUUAGGUGAACACUGAAAACAUCGGUGAGGGUGGUCAGGAAGAAAAGCUAAAACCACCAGACGAAGGGGCGCUGGUCUCUGGUUCUUGGCGAAGGCCACCGCAGCUCAUCUCCAAGACCUCUGCUGUCGUGUGUCCCCCAAGUUCUUCACCGAAUCUCCUCGCCCGCUGGCUGCUGCUCUUCUUCUCCCUCGAACACAUCUCUGCUUCUGAUCCUUUGCUGCCGCCCGUAACCUGCUGCUUCUGCUCUCUGAUGCUGCACUCUGUACCUCUCCUCCAACGAACUGUUGUUCCUAAUCUUCUCUGAACCCAAACUGUUGCUGCUCCGCUUCCUCUCUGAACCUCAGUCUGCUGCUGCUUCUCUGAUUCAGAGUAAACCAAUAAACAGGAAUUGUAUGGACUUCUAGGUCGUUUUUCCUUUGGUAACAGUUAUUGUUAGUUCUAAACAAUUUUUCAGUGCCACGAUUAGGCUUCCAAGGGUUCAGAGAAUGAUGAAGAAGCCUUUUAUAUCACACACUAUAUAACAUCAUGGAAUCACAACCUUAUAACAAAUAAUUUAAGAGGCUAUGUUCUGGUUUGCUGUAUCUCCACCAGUUUGGGUUGCUCUGAUGGCUAACCUAAACUGAAUAGGGAAUCAGGAGUACUUUAGUUGGUAUUGAAAGUGGAAUGUUUACUUUCAAGCUGAAAAUCUUGCAAGUUUGGUCCUGGGAUAUUUAAUGCUCCCUUUUCUGAUUAUCUUCCAAUCAUACUAUACAUAUUUAGUUUUUUUACUUUCUCUUGACAAGUGAACUGAAUUAUUCAUGGAGAAUCUGGUUAUGGUAAAUUUUAUUAUGGAGAUUCAUCCGAUGUAAUAGAAUAGCUUUAUUUGCUAAAAUCAAUACAUAACUAUAGUGUUGUAUGGUUACAACAUGUAGAGUUUUGCAAGUGAGAGUUACAGGAAGUCACUAUUGCAAGAUGGCAUUCAGUUAACACACGUACAAUCAACUGAUCACUGUAUCUUUUUUUUUUUGCUAAUUUAAUUUGAAAAAGCUAUUGCAAACAAUUUUUUCUUCUGAAAUUAUAUACUCUGUUUAUUUCUAAUGUGAUUUUGUUACUGUUUGUAUGGUAUUUCUCUGUCUAAAUUUUUUGUUACAUAAAUCAAUCUGCAUAUAUGUGUGCAGGCUGUGAAUCGACAAACAGCCCAGAAAAUAUGGCAUGCUACAUAUCCUGUGACAGUACAUUAUCAGAAAUACUUAUAUUUUUAUAAACGCAUCUCUCAUCCAUCAUGACAUAGAUGUCAUGCGUUGCAAGUGUUCUUUUUCGUUGUCUCGCUAUGCGUUGAGUACAUGAUGGAUGAUCUAAUCGUUCAGUGUGUCAUGUGUACUCAGUCACUUGUGUCAUCUUCAGAUUUUAGAAGUCAAAAUUCUAGCUUUAGCUCUAUAUUUAAGAAUUUUUCUACGGCAAAUGCAAGAAAAAUAAAGCGUCCUUCUGUUCUCAUUCUGAGGAAGUUCUGAAAAAUUGAGGCAUUUGUAUGAAUUUCUAUUCUUCAUUAUAAAUUAUCCUUUUAAGUUUAGAAAAUAAAACAUGAUAUACUCUGUAUGUCUCUGUUCUACACUACCACUACCAUUUUAUUGCUGCAAAACGCCAAUGAAAAAGUCAUUACUAUUUUCCACGUUUUUAUACAAUCAAGCUGAAAGAGCAAUAAAAUGAUCUGUUUUCACAUCUCCUCAGAUCUUACCGAAAGGCAAUGUGCUUAUAAUGUACAUCUAGAGAACAAUAAUGUGUUUGGGAAUGAUUCAUUUGUCGACGGUCAGCAUGUGGGGUGUGAGGGACGAUACUUAUAUCACUUAGUGGCCAAGGGAAUGACAUCACAAAAGUUUAUCUAACAUCCUAGGAGAAGAUGGACACAUGUUCCUAUAUUGCUUCUCUACAAUUGCUUUCACCAUUUGAUCAUCCAUGUAAUUUAUAGCAUCCAUGGAUAGCUUAUCCUUAGGCUGUUUGUAUCCACUUAUUCCUUUUGUUGACAUGGCUAGGAGGCUAAUAUGAAUGUCACAUAGAUUGUAAUUUAACCUCCUUACAAAUAAUUAACGUUCAAACAUUCCAGUGGAGGAAUCUCAAGACUUAUAGGAAUGGUACCCCGACAAUUGUGAGCGGCACAAAGGAAGGGUCGCCAUCACCAAGGAAGUACGCUGACAAUUGUGAACUCCAAAGAGGAACAAGCUCUAUAUUUAGUGCAUUGAGUUGCUAUUUUAAAUUCUGAGAGGUGUUGAAUUUUGUCAAUUUCUAAGAUAUUGACUCGGAAGAAUUAUUAUUUUGCUUGAUGUAAACUCAGAUUAAUUUGUCAUGUCAUUUGAACCGAACAACCUUUUUGUGACAUCACUUCAUGAUUUUUGUGGGAUAUUUUUUUACAGGUAGGUUUUACUAGCUGGAGCAACGAGGGUGCCAUCGGCAGCUCCGAGUUGCAGCGGGAGCCCCGGGAGACACCGGUCCGCCGCGCCGUCAGCAGCAAGAGCCGCCCGGCCGGGCAGCCAAGCUACAGCGGGAGCCGUCGCGCCGGGCCGCCGAGCUGUGGCGUGUACCGCCACCCCACCACCAGCAGCGGGAGCCGCCACUGAUGGGGACCUAGGUCCGGUCGUCUUGCUUCCUCGGCUCCUCCAGUAGCUUCUCUCUUCGGAACAAACGUGUUGUUUCAGCACACAUUGUAUAUACUGCUUUCCUAUUUUAUUUUUAAUUAUUUUUUUGUGGGAUACUGCUUUCUUAUUUUGCUACUACCUAAUAGAAGAAGUCAUCAUCUUCAUCUA
Molecule: long non-coding RNA, 5922 nt
Organism: Aegilops tauschii subsp. strangulata
Lineage: Eukaryota; Viridiplantae; Streptophyta; Magnoliopsida; Poales; Poaceae
Source: RefSeq, a predicted model, not a curated record